AGUGGGAUAGCUGGGUCAAAUGUUUCCAUUCCAAGUUUUCUGAGGAAUCUCCAUACUGUUUUCCAGAGUAGUUGCACCAAUCUGCAGUCCCACCAGCAAU
This 100-nucleotide microRNA precursor is filed under the name Marmota monax (woodchuck). The record is from RNAcentral. Lineage: Eukaryota; Metazoa; Chordata; Mammalia; Rodentia; Sciuridae.